CCUACGGGAGGCAGCAGGCGCGAAAACUUUACAAUGCGGGCAACCGUGAUAAGGGAACCUCGAGUGCCUGUAAAUGCAGGCUGUUCAGGUGCCUAAAACACACCUGAAGAAAGGGCCGGGCAAGACCGGUGCCAGCCGCCGCGGUAAUACCGGCGGCUCGAGUGGUGGCCGCUUUUAUUGGGCUUAAAGCGUUCGUAGCUGGGUUGUUAAGUCUCUUGGGAAAUCUGGCGGCUUAACCGUCAGGCGUCUAAGGGAUACUGGCAAUCUUGGAACCGGGAGAGGUGAGGGGUACUUCGGGGGUAGGAGUGAAAUCCUGUAAUCCUCGAGGGACCACCUGUGGCGAAGGCGCCUCACCAGAACGGCUUCGACAGUGAGGGACGAAAGCUGGGGGAGCAAACCGGAUUAGAUACCCCUGUAGUC
Molecule: ribosomal RNA, 420 nt
Filed under: uncultured Methanoculleus sp.
Lineage: Archaea; Methanobacteriati; Methanobacteriota; Methanomicrobia; Methanomicrobiales; Methanomicrobiaceae
Description: bacterial SSU rRNA
Rfam family: Archaeal small subunit ribosomal RNA
Source: RNAcentral